RNAcentral lists this ribosomal RNA (305 nucleotides) under uncultured bacterium. Its description in RNAcentral is "bacterial SSU rRNA". It matches the Rfam family "Bacterial small subunit ribosomal RNA", at positions 28 to 334 of the family's 1533-position model. The record is from RNAcentral.
GAUGAACGCUAGCGGCAGGCUUAACACAUGCAAGUCGAACGGUAACAGAUCUUCGGAUGCUGACGAGUGGCGCACGGGUGCGUAACGCGUAUACAACCUGCCUUGAACAAAGGGAUAGCCCAUGGAAACGUGGAUUAAUACCUUAUAACAUCUAGAAGUGGCAUCACAUUUAGAUCAAAGAUUUAUCGGUUUGAGAGGGGUAUGCGUGACAUUAGAUAGUUGGUGAGGUAACGGCUCACCAAGUCUGCGAUGUCUAGGGGUUCUGAGAGGAUGAUCCCCCACACUGGUACUGAGACACGGACCAG